This 348-nucleotide RNase P RNA is filed under the name Reinekea marinisedimentorum. Its description in RNAcentral is "Bacterial RNase P class A". It matches the Rfam family "Bacterial RNase P class A". Rfam says of the family: Ribonuclease P (RNase P) is a ubiquitous endoribonuclease, found in archaea, bacteria and eukarya as well as chloroplasts and mitochondria. Its best characterised activity is the generation of mature 5'-ends of tRNAs by cleaving the 5'-leader elements of precursor-tRNAs. Lineage: Bacteria; Pseudomonadati; Pseudomonadota; Gammaproteobacteria; Oceanospirillales; Saccharospirillaceae. The record is from Rfam by way of RNAcentral.
GGAGUCAGCCAGACAGUCGCCGCUCGCUUGCGAGGGGAGGAAAGUCCGGGCUCCAUAGGGUAGGGUGCCAGAUAACGUCUGGGCGGCGAAAGCCGACGGCAAGUGCAGCAGAGAGGAGACCGCCUUAGGCUUCGGCCUUCGGUAAGGGUGAAAGGGUGCGGUAAGAGCGCACCGCAACACUGGUAACAGUUGUUGGCGAGGUAAACCCCACCUGGAGCAAGACCAAAUAGGAUUCCGUUCGGCGUGACCCGCGCUGGAAUCGGGUAGGUUGCUUGACUGUACGAGUGAUUGUGCAGCUAGAUGAAUGACUGUCCACGACAGAACCCGGCUUACCGGCUGACUCCCCCA